Molecule: ribosomal RNA, 455 nt
Filed under: uncultured bacterium
Lineage: Bacteria
Description: bacterial SSU rRNA
Rfam family: Bacterial small subunit ribosomal RNA
Source: RNAcentral
UACGGGAGGCAGCAGUGGGGAAUAUUGCACAAUGGGCGCAAGCCUGAUGCAGCCAUGCCGCGUGUAUGAAGAAGGCCUUCGGGUUGUAAAGUACUUUCAGUCGUGAGGAAGGUGUUAAGGUUAAUAACCUUAGCAAUUGACGUUAGCGACAGAAGAAGCACCGGCUAACUCCGUGCCAGCAGCCGCGGUAAUACGGAGGGUGCGAGCGUUAAUCGGAAUUACUGGGCGUAAAGGGCACGCAGGCGGUUAAUUAAGUUGGAUGUGAAAUUCCCGGGCUUAACCUGGGAAUGGCAUUCAAGACUGGUUAGCUAGAGUCUUGUAGAGGGGGUAGAAUUCCAUGUGUAGCGGUGAAAUGCGUAGAGAUGUGGAGGAAUACCGGUGGCGGAAGGCGGCCCCGUGGACAAAGACUGACGCUCAUGUGCGAAAGCGUGGGGAGCAAACAGGGAUUAGAUACC